RNAcentral lists this ribosomal RNA (437 nucleotides) under uncultured Clostridium sp. RNAcentral's name for it is "partial 16S ribosomal RNA". It matches the Rfam family "Bacterial small subunit ribosomal RNA", at positions 341 to 792 of the family's 1533-position model. Lineage: Bacteria; Bacillati; Bacillota; Clostridia; Eubacteriales; Clostridiaceae. The record is from RNAcentral.
ACGGAAGGCAGCAGUGGGGAAUAUUGCACAAUGGGGGAAACCCUGAUGCAGCGAUGCCGCGUGAAGGAUGAAGGGUUUCGGCUCGUAAACUUUUAUCGAUAGUGAAGAAACAAAUGACGGUAACUAAGUAAGAAGCUCCGGCUAACUAUGUGCCAGCAGCCGCGGUAAUACAUAGGGAGCAAGCGUUAUCCGGAUUUACUGGGUGUAAAGGGAGCGUAGACGGCAAAGCAAGUCUGAAGUGAAAUCCCGGGGCUCAACCCCGGAACUGCUUUGGAAACUGUUUAGCUAGAGUGCAGGAGAGGUAAGCGGAAUUCCUAGUGUAGCGGUGAAAUGCGUAGAUAUUAGGAGGAACACCAGUGGCGAAGGCGGCUUACUGGACUGUAACUGACGUUGAGGCUCGAAAGCGUGGGGAGCAAACAGGAUUAGAUACCCUGGUA